Molecule: long non-coding RNA, 905 nt
Organism: Pectinophora gossypiella (pink bollworm)
Lineage: Eukaryota; Metazoa; Arthropoda; Insecta; Lepidoptera; Gelechiidae
Exons: 4
Source: RefSeq, a predicted model, not a curated record
UACUGAGCUCAUGUUAACGCCUUGCCGCUGAUGCAACGCUUUAGACUACAGAUAAUUAACAACCUGUACGGACAUUACGCGCGUACAACACUCGUAUAUCAAAGAUCCUGUGUUCAAAAUGUGAACUAAUCACGUAAUAUACAUAUUUGCGACACCUGCCGCCACUCAUCGGCGCGUGUCAGUUAAGAAAAGCCAAGAAUAACUCGCACUGGUUAUAACUGGCUACAGCCAGAUUGAUCGUAUUGGAGGGCUGGCAGGCCAACAAGGAAGCGCUUGCUCCUUUGCGGGCGGAAAUCACCGAAUUUCCAUAACAGUCCAAAUAAAUCGCGGUCACUGUGGCGCUACCUCACUAUGUCAAUGUCGCGACGCGGAUAGCAACAAUAAGACAUCCUGUAAUCGUUUACUGAAGAGUGAUACGAAUGCCGAGGAGCAUAGCCAAGGUGACACUCAGGAUAUAGGGCAUAUCAACAGGAAGACUGCGAUUGCUACAUAAAGAGGCGAAGGUUAGGAGGUUAAUAUGGCGCAAGUGUAAUAUAAAGUAAUCUUAUACUAUCAGAAUAAGUUGAUGUUGAAUUCUUUUAAGACGACUAAUAAAUGGUUAAAGAAAAUUCCUACUGCACUUAAAAUAUUCAUCAUCACAUGCAUCUUAAAGAUAAAGAUUUUUAUUGUGUUUAAAUUUAGAUUUUGUAAUUUAGUCUUUUUAUUUGUGUUUAUUUCUUUCUCCUGAAGCUUCCUCUAUCAAACUUCUUCUGGGUUAUGUGCUAUAGACAGGAUAUAUACUUCACGCCAUGCCAUCGUUUAACUUAUUCUCUAUAUUACUAAUGUGGUAAAUCAUGAAUGUGUUGGUGUCAUUCACUUGGAAAAUGUGUAAGUACAAUAUGAUGUUCACAACGUAAUUACAAUCA